UUGCUUACAACCUCAAGUGAUUUAUUUUUUGUAUGUCUUAAUCAGCAAAGAAGAAAGAAAUGACGCCAUCAAAAAGUACAGACAAGCAAUUAUUAAAGUUGAAGAAGUCGAAUUAAAAAUUAAAAUAAAAAUGGAUAAACAACAGAAAGUAAAUAGAAAAAGUCAAUAUGAUUCUCUGUGUUUUGUUGAUCAAUUAGACGGGGAUGAAUUUUUUAAUACUGUCUUUCAAGAUGACUAAAAUAUAUUGAAAAAUCUAAAUAAUGAUACCCUUGAAAUAUAUGAAGAAUAUAAGAAAAAGUUUACAACAGUAUGUCCAGGAAUUGUACAAAUUUGGAGGAGAUCAACACGUUGUUAGGACGAAAGAAAUUAAUGAAUUUUUUUCAGUCGUUCGAAAAGCUCGAGAAAAUGUUUAAGAUCAUUGGGACAAUAAAAACAGGAAAAAUAAUUAUGAUUUAGUG
This is a long non-coding RNA of Cotesia glomerata, 458 nucleotides long. RefSeq lists it as uncharacterized. The record is from RefSeq and is a predicted model, not a curated record. Lineage: Eukaryota; Metazoa; Arthropoda; Insecta; Hymenoptera; Braconidae. The transcript is spliced from 3 exons.